Molecule: ribosomal RNA, 253 nt
Filed under: uncultured bacterium
Lineage: Bacteria
Description: partial 16S ribosomal RNA
Rfam family: Bacterial small subunit ribosomal RNA
Source: RNAcentral
UACAGAGGGGGCAAGCGUUGUUCGGAAUUACUGGGCGUAAAGCGCGCGCAGGCGGUCUUCCAAGUCAGUGGUGAAAGCCCGGAGCUCAACUCCGGAACUGCCAUUGAAACUGUAAGACUUGAGGAUGAGAGAGGUGAGUGGAAUUCCCAGUGUAGAGGUGAAAUUCGUAGAUAUUAGGAAGAACACCGGUGGCGAAGGCGGCUCACUGGCUCAUUACUGACGCUCAGGCGCGACAGCGUGGGGAUCAAACAGG